Molecule: ribosomal RNA, 506 nt
Filed under: Mulsantina sp. CO460
Lineage: Eukaryota; Metazoa; Arthropoda; Insecta; Coleoptera; Coccinellidae
Description: partial 16S ribosomal RNA
Rfam family: Bacterial large subunit ribosomal RNA
Source: RNAcentral
UUUUNGAAUAUAAUUUAAAGUAGGGCCUGCCCACUGAGUAAUUGAAGGGCCGCAGUAUUUUGACUGUGCAAAGGUAGCAUAAUCAUUAGUUUUUUAAUUGAAAGCUUGUAUGAAUGGUUUGAUGAGAAAAUAACUUUCUAUAUUAAAAUUAUAAAGAACUUUAUUUUUAAGUUAAAAAGCUUAAAUUUUUUUAAUAGACGAGAAGACCCUUUAGAGUUUAAUUUAAAUAAGAGUUUUAAUUUAUGGAAUUAUUUAAUUUUAGUUUUUAUUUAAAUUUGAUUGGGGUGAUUAAAAAAUUAAAGAAACUUUUUUUAUAUACGUACAUUGAUUUAUGAAUUUUUGAUCCAUAAAAAUGAUUAAAAGAUUAAAUUACCUUAGGGAUAACAGCGUUAUUUUUUUUUAGAGUUCAGAUCGAAAAAAAAGAUUGCGACCUCGAUGUUGGAUUAAAAUUUAUGUUAGGUGUAGAAGCUUAAUAAUUUGGUCUGUUCGACCAUUAAAAUUUUACA